This 236-nucleotide ribosomal RNA is filed under the name uncultured bacterium. RNAcentral's name for it is "partial 16S ribosomal RNA". It matches the Rfam family "Bacterial small subunit ribosomal RNA", at positions 118 to 350 of the family's 1533-position model. The record is from RNAcentral.
UGGGCAACCUGCCCCUCUCUCUGGGAUAACCCCCGGGGAAACCGGAGCUAAUACCGGAUACUCCGGCUGGAUCGCAUGGUCCGGCCGGGAAAGGUCCGCCGGAGAGGGAUGGGCCCGCGGCCUAUCAGCUUGUUGGUGGGGUCAUGGCUCACCAAGGCGACGACGGGUAGCUGGUCUGAGAGGAUGGCCAGCCACACUGGGACUGAGACACGGCCCAGACCUCCGUACGGGAGGCA